UAGCUUCCAGGGUGGAGGUCGGCCAGGACUCAAAGGACUUGUUUCUUUGGUUGGAAAGAGGGAGGGUGAGUCUCUUGCCUUGCACUUACAGCUUCCCCCAGGGCGCUAAGCUUGGAUGCAAGCCCUGAAAAACAGAGCUCAAUGGCUCUGCUCCAGCUCUAUCUGAGGGAUGGAAAAGGCUCUUGUGGUGCCACUGAGGCACCUGGAGAUCUCGGAGAAGCUUUUGGGGUGGGGUGACUUUAUCACCUGCACGCACAUUUUGGUCGUGUCCUCUGGGGUGUGUGAAGGGCCCUCCCAAGACCAGAUGUAAGAAAACACGUGAUGAAGAGAGUCCUGCCCUCCUUCUGCCACUCACCGCCCUCGCGCCAUAAGCAAGAGGAUUUAUCUUGGGGAUGCAGGGCACCUGAGACAUUUAUUGCCUAUGCUAGUAAACACAGCAGAGAGAAGGUGCCCAGCCAGCAGUUUUCCUCCUGUGAUCGCCCUGCAACUUGCGCAGCUGGCAGCUGCCAAAGCAACGGGUCAUGAACAUGCACGGCCUCAACCCGUCGGUCUUCCAGCCUCUGGAUUUACAGCGAGACUCCAGGAAAACCCUCCUGCCUGCUUAUCUGUGCCAUGGGCGAGGGCUUCCUUCCCGGUUUAUCAUUAGAGCCUGCCUUCCUCCAGAGAGCUGGUUGGAGCAGCCACCCUCUGUUCCCCGCUAGACAUCCGGACGCUGCCCGAGAUGAGCUCUCUUUUUGUGCGGAGCGUGGAAAUUGAGAUAGCCAACAAAACCCGGAAUGUGACCCUGCAUACCCCCAGGAGCUACUGCUACAGUGGCUACAGCUAUAUACCACCCAGUCCCAAGAUCCCCCCUGGUGCCACGGAGAGCUGCCAAUUUGCUAAUGUAGCGCUCAGCUUCCGGGGGAGCGUGGGGAUCCUGGUGUAUGAGGCAGACACCUUCACACUGGCCAUCCUCUUCUCCAACCCCUAUGACUACAACAUUUUCUAUAUGGAGGUUGCCCUGGAGAUCUCCAUGGAAAAAGCCCACCUCGGCAACUUGGAGGAUGUCUACAAGAGGAUGUACAACAGCGUGCCCACUGGCAACGUUAAUGGCACCACCUUCCAGCGAGCCAAACUCCAUGCAUGCCAGGAGACCCUCAUGGUCUCUGCCAACCAUGUGCAGGUCAUGGCCACCAUGUCCAGCGCUGCUAACUCAGUCCUGAAAGUAAUUGUGGAGGAUAAAGAUAGUCCCCCCCCAUAUUCAGAGCAAGCACCACCUGGUAGCCUUGGGCAGUAUCAGCCUCGGCCGAAGAAUUGGAAGAACCUGCUCAAAGGCAAGACGGGCAGGUGAUAGUGCUCUCUGUUUUGGUUCUUGCUUGCUUUAGAUGCCAGGCAACAUGUGCUUCCUUCAAUAAAGGCUAAAGCCAAGUAUCCA
This 1414-nucleotide long non-coding RNA is filed under the name Apteryx rowi (Okarito brown kiwi). RNAcentral's name for it is "lncRNA (ENSARWG00000011521.1)". The record is from RNAcentral. Lineage: Eukaryota; Metazoa; Chordata; Aves; Apterygiformes; Apterygidae.